RNAcentral lists this ribosomal RNA (309 nucleotides) under Triticum aestivum (bread wheat). RNAcentral describes it as "partial small subunit ribosomal RNA". Lineage: Eukaryota; Viridiplantae; Streptophyta; Magnoliopsida; Poales; Poaceae. The record is from RNAcentral.
AUGAAGGGCCUCAUUGUGCGGCUGUGUCCUAGAGGGGCUCUGUCUGGGAGCUAUUUCGGGCUGGUGCGGCGGCUGGUGGAGGCCUGUCCAAGGCUCGAAGUCAUCAAGCGCUCCGUCUGCAUUGAGGGUGCCCGUAGGGUCCUUGCCCGUGCUGAGGUGCACUGGGGCAAGCUGGAUGCUGAGAAGCUUGUGAAGGACGGGCCACCGCCGGGGAAAGAGCAUCGCAAGCCCGAGAAUUACUAUAAGGAUGUUCUGAAGGGUGUCUGCCUUGUGGCGGAUGAAUGUUCUAGGGAUGUAAUUUUUGAGUGA